AGCGUUGAAACACUGGUUCCAGUACAAUCACCGAAGUUAAGCAACGUCGAGCCUGGUUAGUACCGAGAUGGAUGUCUGCUUGGGAAUAUCAGGGGUU
Acanthosepion pharaonis is the source of this 97-nucleotide non-coding RNA. The record is from the annotation of a GenBank genome assembly. NCBI's taxonomy places the organism in Eukaryota, Metazoa, Mollusca, Cephalopoda, Sepiida, Sepiidae.